GACGAACGCUGGCGGCGUGCUUAAUACAUGCAAGUCGAGCGGUAAGGCCUCUUCGGGGGUACACGAGCGGCGAACGGGUGAGUAACACGUGGGUGACCUGCCCCCAGCUCUGGGAUAAGCCUGGGAAACUGGGUCUAAUACCGGAUAUGACCUUUCCUCGCAUGGGGUUUGGUGGAAAGUUUUUUCGGCUGGGGAUGGGCCCGCGGCCUAUCAGCUUGUUGGUGGGGUGAUGGCCUACCAAGGCGACGACGGGUAGCCGGCCUGAGAGGGCGACCGGCCACACUGGGACUGAGACACGGCCCAGACUCCUACGGGAGGCAGCAGUGGGGAAUAUUGCGCAAUGGGCGGAAGCCUGACGCAGCGACGCCGCGUGGGGGAUGACGGCCUUCGGGUUGUAAACCUCUUUCGACCCCGACGAAUUUGGACGGUAGGGGUAGAAGAAGCACCGGCCAACUACGUG
Molecule: ribosomal RNA, 460 nt
Filed under: uncultured bacterium
Lineage: Bacteria
Description: partial 16S ribosomal RNA
Rfam family: Bacterial small subunit ribosomal RNA
Source: RNAcentral